CUACGGGUGGCAGCAGUGAGGAAUUUUGCGCAAUGGGCGAAAGCCUGACGCAGCAACGCCGCGUGAGUGAUGAAGGCCUUCGGGUCGUAAAGCUCUGUCAAGUGGGAAGAACCUGGUUGUAGACAACAGCUGCAAUCACUGACGGUACCACUGAAGGAAGCACCGGCUAACUCCGUGCCAGCAGCCGCGGUAAUACGGAGGGUGCGGCGUUAUUCGGAAUUAUUGGGCGUAAAGGGCGCGCAGGCGGUCCUUUAAGUCAGAUGUGAAAGCCCGAGGCUUAACCUCGGAAGUGCAUUUGAAACUAUAGGACUUGAGUAUGGGAGAGGGAAGUGGAAUUCCUGGUGUAGAGGUGAAAUUCGUAGAUAUCAGGAGGAACACCGGUGGCGAAGGCGACUUCCUGGACCAAUACUGACGCUGAGGCGCGAAGGCGUGGGGAGCAAACAGGAUUAGAUACCCCCGUAGUC
This 464-nucleotide ribosomal RNA is filed under the name uncultured bacterium. RNAcentral describes it as "partial 16S ribosomal RNA". It matches the Rfam family "Bacterial small subunit ribosomal RNA", at positions 339 to 795 of the family's 1533-position model. The record is from RNAcentral.